Molecule: ribosomal RNA, 504 nt
Filed under: uncultured bacterium
Lineage: Bacteria
Description: partial 16S ribosomal RNA
Rfam family: Bacterial small subunit ribosomal RNA
Source: RNAcentral
AUUGAACGCUGGCGGCAGGCCUAACACAUGCAAGUCGGACGGUAGCACAGAGAGCUUGCUCUCGGGUGACGAGUGGCGGACGGGUGAGUAAUGUCUGGGGAUCUGCCCGAUAGAGGGGGAUAACCACUGGAAACGGUGGCUAAUACCGCAUAACGUCGCAAGACCAAAGAGGGGGACCUUCGGGCCUCUCACUAUCGGAUGAACCCAGAUGGGAUUAGCUAGUAGGCGGGGUAACGGCCCACCUAGGCGACGAUCCCUAGCUGGUCUGAGAGGAUGACCAGUCACACUGGAACGGAGACACGGUCCAGACUCCUACGGGAGGCAGCAGUGGGGAAUAUUGCACAAUGGGCGCAAGCCUGAUGCAGCCAUGCCGCGUGUAUGAAGAAGGCCUUCGGGUUGUAAAGUACUUUCAGCGGGGAGGAAGGCGAUGUGGUUAAUAACCGCGUCGAUUGACGUUACCCGCAGAAGAAGCACCGGCUAACUCCGUGCCAGCCGCCGCAGUAA